Molecule: unclassified non-coding RNA, 429 nt
Filed under: soil metagenome
Description: partial contains 5.8S ribosomal RNA, internal transcribed spacer 2, and large subunit ribosomal RNA
Rfam family: 5.8S ribosomal RNA (bases 1-120)
Source: RNAcentral
GAUGAAGAACGUAGCGAAAUGCGAUACGUAAUGUGAAUUGCAGAAUUCAGUGAAUCAUCGAAUCUUUGAACGCAUAUUGCGCUCUCUGGUAUUCCGGAGAGCAUGCUUGUUUGAGUAUCAGUAAACACCUCAACUCCCUUUUCUUUUUUGAAAUUGGAGCUGGACUUGAGUGAUCCCAACGCUUUCUUCCAAGAAAGUGGCGGGUUGCUUGAAAUGCAGGUGCAGCUGAACUUUUCUCUGAGCUAUAAGCAUAUCUAUUUAGUCUGCCUAAAAAACAGAUUAUUACCUUUGCUGCAGCUAACAUAAAGGAGACUAGUUCUUGUGCUGACUGAUGCAGGAUUCACAGAGACAGCUUCGGCUGACUUGUAAACUCGAUCUCAAAUCAAGUAAGACUACCCGCUGAACUUAAGCAUAUCAAUAAGCGGAGGA